UACAGAGGUCUCAAGCGUUGUUCGGAUUCAUUGGGCGUAAAGGGUGCGUAGGCGGCGCGGUAAGUCGGGUGUGAAAUCUUGGAGCUUAACUCCGAAACUGCAUUCGAUACUGCCGUGCUUGAGGACUGGAGAGGAGACUGGAAUUUACGGUGUAGCGGUGAAAUGCGUAGAUAUCGUAAGGAAGACCAGUGGCGAAAGCGACUUCCUGGACCAAUACUGACGCUCAUGUGCGAAAGCGUGGGGAGCAAACAGG
This 253-nucleotide ribosomal RNA is filed under the name uncultured bacterium. RNAcentral describes it as "partial 16S ribosomal RNA". It matches the Rfam family "Bacterial small subunit ribosomal RNA", at positions 524 to 776 of the family's 1533-position model. The record is from RNAcentral.